RNAcentral lists this ribosomal RNA (594 nucleotides) under Triticum aestivum (bread wheat). RNAcentral describes it as "partial small subunit ribosomal RNA". Lineage: Eukaryota; Viridiplantae; Streptophyta; Magnoliopsida; Poales; Poaceae. The record is from RNAcentral.
AUGGACCUCUGCUUUCAUGCCCCAGCCAAGUUCCCUCGAGGAGACGAGGACAAGCAACGCAGCAGCAGAAGCAGGGAGAUAUCCAACUACAUGAUCUACCUGCUUUCCUCCCGUCCUGAGAUGCUAAUGCCCGGCACUAGACCAAGCCUCUUCACCAUUGCCGGCAACGAGAUCGAGCUCAUCUUGAAGCAUAGCAGCGCGGCGCCGCUUGACAAAGAAGAGAGUCUUGCACGGGAGAUUAUCAUCAUGGCAAAGUCACCAUCAGUCAUAGCCAAAUGUAGUCUGAUUCCUGAUGCAUGGAGGCUCGCUGAGGCACUAAUGAAGCUGGGUGACGAGGAGAUGUGGAUGGUGAUCCAAGCUACAUGGGUGGAGAUGCUCUGCUACUCUGCUGUCAGAUGCAGAGGGUACCUCCAUGCCAAGAGCCUAGGCGAAGGCGGUGAAUGCCUAACAAGCAUCUGGCUCCUCUGGUCAUUCAUGGGGAUGGAGACCUUGGCAGACAAGCUUCAGAGGCCACAUCCAUCUUGUUAUGAAGCCGACGCAGGCGCACCACGGCCUUCACAGUCCCAAUCUAGAGAGAUCUUCAGCCCAGUCUGA